GAUGAACGCUAGCUACAGGCUUAACACAUGCAAGUCGAGGGGUAACGAGAGGAAAGCUUGCUUUCCUUGUCGACGACCGGCGCACGGGUGAGUAACGCGUAUCCAACCUGCCCCCAACUAGGGAAUAACCUUGCGAAAGUAAGACUAAUACCCUAUAAUUUCCUCAGAUGACAUCUGACGAGGAAUAAAGAUUUAUCGGUUGUGGAUGGGGAUGCGUCUGAUUAGCUUGUUGGCGGGGUAACGGCCCACCAAGGCCACGAUCAGUAGGGGUUCUGAGAGGAAGGUCCCCCAGAUUGGAACUGAGAGAGGGUCCAAACUCCUACGAGAGGCAGCAGUGAGGAAUAUUGGUCAAUGGGCGAAAGCCUGAACCAGCCAAGUGGCGUGCAGGAUGACGGCCCUAUGGGUUGUAAACUGCUUUUAUACAGGAAUAAAGUUAGCCACGUGUGGUUAUUUGUAGGUACUGUAUGAAUAAGGACCGGCUAAUUCCGUGCCAGCAGCCGCCGUAA
RNAcentral lists this ribosomal RNA (506 nucleotides) under uncultured bacterium. Its description in RNAcentral is "partial 16S ribosomal RNA". It matches the Rfam family "Bacterial small subunit ribosomal RNA", at positions 28 to 523 of the family's 1533-position model. The record is from RNAcentral.